RNAcentral lists this long non-coding RNA (418 nucleotides) under Capsicum annuum. Its description in RNAcentral is "long non-coding RNA (CANN_LNC011901)". The record is from RNAcentral. Lineage: Eukaryota; Viridiplantae; Streptophyta; Magnoliopsida; Solanales; Solanaceae.
AUAUCGACCAUGAACCAUAAAAUAGGCAAACCCAAAACCCCAACAAUAUGACAGAAAACCAAAACCCAAUGUAGCUCGAUCUCCGGUGUGCUCCGACCACAAUAUAAAAUGACGUUUCAAGUGAAUUUCAGUACUUUAAGGCCUGACUUGCUUGAAAAUCAAAAGAAACCAGGAGAUUUUAGGGGUUUCGAGACUGUGUCAGAUCUGUUCAGCGUUCCGAAGCUAAUUUCGGUGAAAAAUUCCACCGAAAACUUGAAGACCCUACUGGUAAAACUUGAAGCUCGGCCAAAAUAGUGACCAAACCCAUAAAAUUCAUUCCCGAAUAACCUCAACUCGACCCUAUUUUCUUCUCAGUUUUAGAUCUCGACCUCGAAUCAAUUUUCUCUCUUAAAUCUUUUAAUCAGUUCUCUCUCUUAUC